CCUGCUUGCGAGGGUACUCGAGUGGCGAACGGGUGAGUAACACGUGGGUGAUCUGCCCUGCACUUCGGGAUAAGCCUGGGAAACUGGGUCUAAUACCGGAUAGGAGCCAUUUUUAGUGUGAUGGUUGGAAAGUUUUUUCGGUGUAGGAUGAGCUCGCGGCCUAUCAGCUUGUUGGUGGGGUAAUGGCCUACCAAGGCGGCGACGGGUAGCCGGCCUGAGAGGGUGGACGGCCACAUUGGGACUGAGAUACGGCCCAGACUCCUACGGGAGGCAGCAGUGGGGAAUAUUGCACAAUGGGCGCAAGCCUGAUGCAGCGACGCCGCGUGGGGGAUGACGGCCUUCGGGUUGUAAACUCCUUUCGCUAGGGACGAAGCUUUUUGUGACGGUACCUAGAUAAGAAGCACCGGCUAACUACGUGCCAGCAGCCGCGGUAAUACGUAGGGUGCGAGCGUUGUCCGGAAUUACUGGGCGUAAAGGGCUCGUAGGUGGUUUGUCGCGCCGUCUGUGAAAUUCCGGGGCUUAACUCCGGGCGUGCAGGCGAUACGGGCAUAACCUUGAGUACUGUAGGGGUAACUGGAAUUCCUUGGUGUAGCGGUGAAAUGCGCGGAUAUCAGGAGGACACCGAUGGCGAAGGCAGGUUACUGGGCAGUUACUGACGCUGAGGAGCGAAAGCAUGGGUAGCGAACAGGAUUAGAUACCCUGGUAGUCCAUGCCGUAAACGGUGGGCGCUAGGUGUGAGGGUCUUUUCACGACUUUCGUGCCGUAGCUAACGCAUUAAGCGCCCCGCCUGGGGAGUACGCCGCAAGGUUG
Molecule: ribosomal RNA, 810 nt
Filed under: uncultured Actinomycetes bacterium
Lineage: Bacteria; Bacillati; Actinomycetota; Actinomycetes
Description: bacterial SSU rRNA
Rfam family: Bacterial small subunit ribosomal RNA
Source: RNAcentral